UCUCCGUUGGUGAACCAGCGGAGGGAUCAUUACUGAGUGUAAAAACUCCCAAACCCAUUGUGAACAUACCACUGUUGCUUCGGCGGAUGCGCCCCGGGCGCGCUCCUCACAGGGCGUGCCCCGGAACCAGGCGCCCGCCGGGGGACCGAAACUCUUGUUUUUAUAGGAUCUCUGAGUGUGAUUAUAAAAUAAAUCAAAACUUUCAACAACGGAUCUCUUGGCUCUAGCAUCGAUGAAGAACGCAGC
RNAcentral lists this unclassified non-coding RNA (246 nucleotides) under uncultured fungus. Its description in RNAcentral is "sequence contains ITS1, 5.8S rRNA gene". The stretch from base 198 to 246 matches the Rfam family "5.8S ribosomal RNA", at positions 1 to 49 of the family's 154-position model. Lineage: Eukaryota; Fungi. The record is from RNAcentral.